Long non-coding RNA from Mercenaria mercenaria, 1006 nucleotides. RefSeq lists it as uncharacterized. The transcript has 2 exons. NCBI's taxonomy places the organism in Eukaryota, Metazoa, Mollusca, Bivalvia, Venerida, Veneridae. The record is from RefSeq and is a predicted model, not a curated record.
CACAGUCCAUUGAGAUAUUGCUUUGAUAUUUUGCAUACUUGUUUACCAUCAUGACCCCAGUCUGUAAAAAGGAGGAGGCAACUCUAUCAAGCAUUUUGACUGAAUUAUGGCCCCUUUUCGACUUAGAAUAAAUGUUAAAGUUUGCGUACCACCCCAAAUAUUUUCAAAGUCCAUUGAGAUAUUACUUUGAUAUUUUGCAUACUUGUUAACCAUCAUGACCCCAGUCUGUAAAAAGGAGGAGGCAACUCUAUCAAGCAUUUUGACUGAAUUAUGGUCCCUUUUCGACUUAGAAUAAAUGUUAAAGUUUGCGUACCACCCCAAAUAUUUUCAAAGUCCAUUGAGAUAUUGCUUUGAUAUUUUGCAUACUUGUUUACCAUCAUGACCCCAGUCUGCAAAAAGGAGGAGGCAACUCUAUCAAGCAUUUUGACUGAAUUAUGGCCCCUUUUAGACUUAGAAUAUGCUUGUUGUAAUGUUAUAGUUUUACUCAUAGCUUAUAUUAUACUAUUAAGCACUGAGAAUAGUUGAGCGCGCUGUCCACUGACAGCUCUUGUUUAUUACUGUUGUUGUACUUCUAUUUUUAAUGUUAUUUGUUGGCUUGUGUUUUCAGGAAAAGAUGUUACAGCCAGUGUAUGAAGACUGAACUUUUGAUAGGUCACAGGUGCUCUCGCAAAGAUUGAUGGCCUGGCAGCAUAAACUAUUCUAUGGUGUUGCAGUGGAUUCGGAGGUGAAGUCAUGAGGAGUUGUUGUGAUGGCAGAAGAAUGAGUGAUCAUUUAGCAUUUUGCACAAGGGUGUACGAGUGGUCCAGUUAAACAGAGAUUACAAACAAUUAAAACUAUAAUUUGAUAUUACAUCUACUUGUGAUUGAUGGAAGUAAUUCAAAGUAUCAUUUGGACAGAUCUGAUGAGUUAACAAAUAUUUGAAAGUAUACGAGGAACAUUUUACACACCUUCAAUAUUAGUAUGUUGUAUAGUAAAUAUAAUAAACAAUUAAAGUUGAAAAACUGAA